GACGAACGCUGGCGGCGUGCUUAACACAUGCAAGUCGAACGGAAAGGCCCUGCUUUUGUGGGGUGCUCGAGUGGCGAACGGGUGAGUAACACGUGAGUAACCUGCCCUUGACUUUGGGAUAACUUCAGGAAACUGGGGCUAAUACCGGCUAGGAGCUCCUGCUGCUUGGUGGGGGUUGGUAAGUUUCGGCGGUUGGGGAUUGAAUCGCGGCGUAUCAGCUUGAUGGUUGGGUAGUGGCUUACCAAGGCUUUGACGGGUGGCCGGCCUGAGCGGGGGACCGGCCACAUUGGGACGGAGAUACGGCCCGGACUCCUACGGGAGGCAGCAGUGGGGAAUAGUGCACAAUGGGCUGAAGCCUGAUGCAGUAACGCCGCGUGCGGGAUGUCGGCCUUCGGGUUGUAAACCGCUUUCGCCUUAGACGAAGCGUGAGUGACGGUAAUGGGUAAAGAAGCACCGGCUAACUACGUG
RNAcentral lists this ribosomal RNA (468 nucleotides) under uncultured bacterium. Its description in RNAcentral is "partial 16S ribosomal RNA". It matches the Rfam family "Bacterial small subunit ribosomal RNA", at positions 28 to 507 of the family's 1533-position model. The record is from RNAcentral.